Molecule: ribosomal RNA, 253 nt
Filed under: uncultured bacterium
Lineage: Bacteria
Description: partial 16S ribosomal RNA
Rfam family: Bacterial small subunit ribosomal RNA
Source: RNAcentral
UACGAAGGGGGCUAGCGUUGUUCGGAAUUACUGGGCGUAAAGCGCGCGCAGGCGGUCUUCCAAGUCAGUGGUGAAAGCCCGGAGCUCAACUCCGGAACUGCCAUUGAAACUGUGAGACUGGAGUACGAGAGAGGUGAGUGGAAUUCCCAGUGUAGAGGUGAAAUUCGUAGAUAUUGGGAAGAACACCGGUGGCGAAGGCGGCUCACUGGCUCGUAACUGACGCUCAGGCGCGACAGCGUGGGGAUCAAACAGG